UUUCCGUAGGUGAACCUGCGGAAGGAUCAUUGACGAGGGAGAAUAUGAGUGUGCACUGCCCAGGUUUUCUUGGGCUGAGAAAACAUUAUUACUACACGCAAAAUACAACUUUUAACAAUGGAUCUCUUGGCUCUU
RNAcentral lists this unclassified non-coding RNA (135 nucleotides) under plant metagenome. RNAcentral describes it as "partial contains small subunit ribosomal RNA, internal transcribed spacer 1, and 5.8S ribosomal RNA". The record is from RNAcentral.